ACAGAGGAAACAGAGGAGGAGAGGUGUAUAUGUUACACCAAUCACAAAGCCUUUUGAUUUCAAGAAAUCUAAAGCAAAGAAGGUUAUGAAGAAGAUUCUCAACCCAUCUCUGUCCACGUCCAACCUCAAAGAGGCACAGGAAAAACACAGAGACAGCUUUCCACAGCACACACCAUCUCAGCUCAAGUCCCCCCACCAGUCAACAUCAGUCAUCACUGAUGCACAUGAACAGAAGCCCUCUCCAGAACAUGUG
Molecule: long non-coding RNA, 253 nt
Organism: Gymnodraco acuticeps
Lineage: Eukaryota; Metazoa; Chordata; Actinopteri; Perciformes; Bathydraconidae
Exons: 3
Source: RefSeq, a predicted model, not a curated record